ACGGGUUCAAUCCUGUCAUCCCUACC
RNAcentral lists this transfer RNA (26 nucleotides) under Flacourtia indica (governor's plum). RNAcentral's name for it is "tRNA-Pro". The record is from RNAcentral. Lineage: Eukaryota; Viridiplantae; Streptophyta; Magnoliopsida; Malpighiales; Salicaceae.